CGGGUAACGGGGAAUCAGGGUUCGAUUCCGGAGAGGGAGCCUGAGAAAUGGCUACCACUUCUACGGAAGGCAGCAGGCGCGCAAAUUACUCAAUCCCAAUACGGGGAAGUAGUGACAAUAAAUACUAAUGUUCUUCCAUUUUAUGGAGAACAAUUGGAAUAAGUACAACGUAAGUAGCUUAGCAAAAGUAAUUGGAGGGCAAGUCUGGUGCCAGCAGCCGCGGUAAUUCCAGCUCCAAUAGCGUAUACUAAAUUUGUUGCAGUUAAAAAGCUCGUAGUUUAGGCAGAGGUCAUUCGGAUUCAUUAAUUUCACCUUCAAAAGUGACUUUAAAGGCUAUAUCACGCUUCGGUUGUGUUUAUGGUCACCGAUGACUUGUAUUAUGACGUUAUUUGUUAGUUUACUAGCUUAUAAUCGUCAAUCCACUGUGAGAAAAUUGUGGUGUUUAAAGCAGGCGUUCUAGUCUGAUCAAUGCAGCAUGGUAUGGUAAAAUAUGACACUUAACAUUUGUUGGUUUACUUUGUUAUAGUGUAAUGACUAAUAGGGAAGGGCGGGGCCGU
This 557-nucleotide ribosomal RNA is filed under the name uncultured Acytostelium. RNAcentral's name for it is "bacterial SSU rRNA". It matches the Rfam family "Eukaryotic small subunit ribosomal RNA", at positions 356 to 891 of the family's 1831-position model. Lineage: Eukaryota; Evosea; Eumycetozoa; Acytosteliales; Acytosteliaceae. The record is from RNAcentral.